GGGCUGGAGCAGUUGCAGCACCGAUUUCUCCGAAUCGAUGUUCUGCUUCAUGACGCUGGUCGCGAUCUGCUGCUGGGUGUUGGCAGCCUGCAUGGCCAUCAUGCUGCUAACGAUGCUCAUCACGUCCAUGGAAACGCACUCUCCCGACUCACGUGCGUGAACCUAGAUGGAGACGGUUAAUAAAAGCUGGCUGAGGGAAGCGCGGCGGAUUAGCGCGUCGGGACCGGCUUUUUGCCGCGAUAGGCGUAGAAAGCGCGCCGCCAUUUGCGGCCCAACCCCCCGCGUUUU
Molecule: unclassified non-coding RNA, 288 nt
Filed under: Hevea brasiliensis (rubber tree)
Lineage: Eukaryota; Viridiplantae; Streptophyta; Magnoliopsida; Malpighiales; Euphorbiaceae
Source: RNAcentral